GGGGUGGAGACAAUAACGAGGACAGAUAAAACAGAUCAGGGUGAGACAGUGUGUGACUGUGUGUGUUAAUGUGUAGUGUGUCUUUAGUGUGUGUGUGCUAAUGUGUACUGUCAUUGGUGUGUGUAUGUGUGCCUGUGUGUGUUAAUGUCUAUUGUGUUAUUAGUGUUUGUGUACCUGUAUGUUAAUGUGUAGUGUGUCAUUAGUGUGUUUACACAUGUGUGUGUUAAUGUGUAGUGUGUCAUUGGUGUGUGUGUAUCAAGGCACAAGGCGAGACCCAGAUGCAGACACAGGAGGCAGAUGGUUGGAGUCGUACAAUGUUUAUUAAUCCAAAGGGGUAGUCAAGAGAAUGGUUGUGGACAGGCAAAAAGGUCAAAACCAGAUCAAAGUCCAGGAGGUACAGAGUGGCAGACAGGCUCAUGGUCAAGGCAAAAUGGUCAGGCAGCUGGGUACAAAGUCCAGAAACAGGCAAGGGUCAAAACCGGGAGGACUAGAAAAAGGAGAAUGCAAAAAUCAGGAAAACGGGAAAAACGCUGGUUGACUUGGAAAAAUACAAGACGAACUGUCACAGAGAGACAGGAAACACAGGGAUAAAUACACUGGAGCAAAAAAGCGACACAUGGAGGGAAUGGAGACAAUAACAAGGACAUUUGAAACAGAUCAGGGACCUGAGCCCUAGGACCAUGCCUCAGGACUACUUGGCCUGAUGACUCCUUGCUGUGCCCAGUCCACCUCGUCGUGUUGCUGCUCCAGUUUCAACUGUUCUGCCUGCGGCUAUGGAACCCUGACCUGUUCACCGGACGUGCUACCUUGUCCCGGACAUGCUGUUUUGGACUCUAUGAAUGUUCAAACAUCUUGGCCAUGUUCUGUUAUAAUCUCCACCCGGCACAGCCAGAAGAGGACUGGCCACCCCUCAGAGAGAGCCUGGUUCCUCUCUAUGUUUAUUCCUAGGUUCCUGCCAUUCUAGGGAGUGUUUCCUAGCCACUGUGCUUCUAAAUCUGCAUUGCUUGCUGUUUGGGGUUUUAGGCUAGGUUUCUGUAUAUAGCGCUUUGUGACAUUGGCUGAUGUAAAAAGGGGUUUAUAAAUACAUUUGAUUGAUUGAAUAUACCUUUACCAACACCUCUUUGUAUUUUGAUACUUUGUGGAUGGGACCUACCCAGUGGCACAGCUGUCUAAGUCACCACAUCACAAUACAAAAAGCGUGACUACAGAUACUUGCGCCGGCCGCCACUGUGAGACCCAUGAGACGGAUUUUGGUUUUAAUUUUAGAAUCCUCCAAUCCUCUAAAUGUAAUUACUGGCGGUAAGUCACAUAAUCUUUUUCGAUAUACAGUGGGCCUACCGUAGGCAACAUGAAUCUCACUAGCAUUGAGUAACGUGCUGUUAAAAGUGGUGUAGGUCCUAUUUAUUUUAAGAGCAUAUUGAAGUUAGAAGCAAUAGGAUUAGCACCAUUUAUCACUGCUCUGAGACAAGCAUGAGGACUGGUCUUGAUAAAUUAAUUCGAUUUUUAUUUUGACUGAAUCUCCGUUUGGGUAUUGGUUAGACUACAAUUAUGGUGUAGAAAUGUUAUACUCUUAAUGUAACCUUUAUUUAACUAGGCAAGUCAAGGACAGCCUACUCUUUAAGCCACGUUGGGGAAAUAAUCCUUGGUCUCCCGCGUGCCUGCACGACACGGGAAUUCUUUAGCUCAAUAGCCCAGUACUGUAACCUACUCCAAACCGUCACAUUGUAGAGCGCCAUAUUUUCCAAUCCACCCUAACGGAAACACAGAGGUUUUUAUUUUUUUCUUGGAAUAGAAACACCAUAAUAUUAAUCAAAUUAAUCCCAAACUCUAAAAGUAAUUGGAAAGGUAGAUACAAAUAUUUUGUGACAUUGUGGUUACAAUAAAGAAUGUUUUCAAACACUUGUUGCCUGAUUAGCAGGACAAUAUACCUUUACCAACACCUCUGUCACGUUCUGACCUUAGUUAUUUUGUUAUGUAUUUGUUUUAGUUUGGUCAGUGCGUGAGUUGGGUGGGUUGUCUAUGUUUGUUUUUCUAUGAUUUGGUAUUUCUGUGUUUGGCCUGGUAUGGUUCUUAAUCAGAGGCAGCUGUCAAUCGUUGUCCCUGAUUGAGAACAAUACUUAGGCAGCCUGUUUUCACCCUUGAGUGGUGGGUGAUUAUAUUUUCUUUUGAGUGUUUGUAUUCUGCACCAGACAGAACUGUUUCGGUUUUGUUCACUUUGUUGUUUUUGUUUAGUGUUCAAUUUUUUUAUAAAAAAUAUGGACACUUAGCAUGCUGCGCAUUGGUCCUCACCUUCUUCCACCAACAACGACCGUUACAGAAUCACCCACCAACCAAGGACCACGCAGCGUGGUAACAGGCAGCGGCAGAAAUCUCAAGACUCCUGGACAUGGGAGGAGAUUUUGGACGGCAAAGGACCCUGGGCACAGGCUGGGCAAAAUCGCCUCCCCAAGGCAGAGCUGGAGGCAGUGAAAGCCAAGAGACGGUGGUAUGAGGAGGCAGCACAAAAGCGCGGCUGGGACAAGAGGCAGACCCAAAAAUGUAUUGGGGGUGGCACACGGGGAGGUAGGAGGAGACCUGAGCCAACUCCCUGUGCUUACCGUGGAGAGAGGUGGACCGUGCAGGCACCGUGUUAUGCCGGUAUGUUACAUCGCAGCGCCUCGUAUCGGCCGGGCUAGAGUGGGCAUCGAGCCAGGUGCCAUGAAGCCGGCUCAGCGCAUCUGGUCUCCAGUGCGUCUCCUCGGGCCGGGGUACAUGGCACCAGUCCUACGCAUGGUGUCCCCGGUUCGCCAGCACAGCCCAGUGCGGUCUAUUCCAUCUCGCCGCACUGGCCUGGCUACAGGGAGUAUCCAGCCAGGUAGGGUUGUGCAGGCUCGGUGUUCGAGACUUCCAGUGUGACUCCACAGUCUGGUCUAUCCGGUGCCACCUCCACGCACCAGGCCUCCGUUGGCAGCCCCCCGCACCAGGCUGUCUCUCCGUCUCCUUCCUGCAGGUGCUCCCGUAUGUACUGAGCUGCCAGAGUCUCCCGUCUGUCUUGAGCUGCCAGAGUCGCAUGUCUGUCCUGAGCUGACAAAGUCUCCCACUGGUCCAGUGCUGCCGGAGUCGCCCGUCACUCCGGUGCUGCCGGAGUCUCCCGCUGGUCCGGUGCUGCCGGAGUCGCCCUUCACUCUGACGCUGCCGGAGUAUCCCGCCUGUCCGGUGCUGCCGGAAUCUCCCGUCCAUUCGGGACCCGUUGCUAGGGUCCCCAGUCCGAGGUCGGCGGCGAGGGUCGCCGCUCUAAAGAGGCCACAGAGGCGGGUAAAGAGGCGGGCAAAGACUAUGGUGGAGUGGUGUCCACGUCCGGCGCCAGAGCCGCCACCGCGGACAGACACCCACUCAGACCCUCCCCUUUAGGUUCAGGUUUUGCGGCCCGAGUCCGCACCUUUGGGGGGGAGUGUACUGUCACGUUCUGACCUUAGUUCUUUUGUUAUGUCUUUGUUUUAGUAUGGUCAGUGCGUGAGUUGGGUGGGUUGUCUGUUUGUUUUUCAAUGAUUUGGUAUUUCUGUGUUUGGACUGGUAUGGUUCUCAAUCAGAGGCAGCUGUGUAUUUUAGACAUUGUGGAUGGGGCUCCGGAGCAGAUGGGGGCUCCCGCAGUGCAAAAUGUGUUGCUAUAGAUGUAGUUUUGAUCGUUGUCGGCCGCCACAGGGAGACCCAUGAGGCAGCUUUUGGUUUAAAUGUAGAAUCCUCCAAUCCCUAUAUGUAAUUAUUGGCGGAGAGUCACAUCAUAUGUUUCGAUAUACUCUAGGCCUACCAUCGGCGACAUGAGUCUCACUAGUGUUGAAUAAUGUGAUGUUAAAAGUGGUGUAGGUCUUAUUCAUUUAAAGAGCAUAUUGAAGUUAGAAGCAAUAGGAUUUGAAGCAAUACCCUGCAACUAUUUUAUAAGCAUUUUGGACUGCUCUGACAAGCAUGGAGCUGGUCUUGAUAAAUCAAUGAGAUUUUAAUUUUCACUGAAUCUCCAUUCGGGUAUUGGUUAGACUACAAUUAGAAAUGUUAUGUUCUUAGUGUAACCUUUAUUUAAGUAGGCAAGUCAGCCAAGAAUACAUUCUUAUUUACAAGGACAGAUUACGCCUUCCUCCCCGACGGGAAAUUGAAACCCGGUCUCCAGCGUGCCCACACAUCGCGGGGAUUAUUUAGCUAAAUAGCCAAGUACUGGAGCCUACUCCCGAUCCUCACAUUGUACUGUGCCAUAUUUUCCGUUCCAUCCUAACGGAAAUCCAGAGGGUUUUUUGUUUUUCUUGGAAUAGAAACACCAUACCAUUAAUCAAAUGAAUUAAUUAAGUUAAAUUUCUUAAAAUCAGUUCCCAUGUUACAAAAAAAGGUUUGAAAUCAUCUAGUACAGCCACUAUUGAAGACUAUCAAAUGCUUCUCAAAGAUGCCCUUUGGUGGUCAAACUAGCACUAACUAGCAUUAAUGGUACCAGUGGUUUGCACUCAAAUAACGUGCCAUAGAAUUCUGCGGCACCACCCAAGCUGUGCUGCAGUAUGCUGAAACCUUUAAAGGACGAACCACAGUACACACACAUGAUAACAUACAUGCUAUACACACACAUGGAUUUUGUGUUGUAGAUAUGUGGUAGUGGAUUAGGGGCCUGAGGGCACACAUUUAGUGUAUUGUGAAAUCUGUUAUGAAACUAUUGUAAGGUCUUUAAAAUAGUAUAACUGCCUUAAUUUUGCCGGACCCCAGGAAGAGCAGCUGCUGCCUUGGCAACAGCUAAUGGGGAUCCAUAAUAAAUACAAAUACAAAAUAGAAAUGCUCAAGAUUGAAUUUAAUCAAUCUUUCAGAAAAAGUUAAAUCCAGUGAUUGACAAAUCUCCAGUUAAUCAAUUAGAUUUCCUGAAACUGACUGACUGAGAAGGAAAUCGACUGACCCCAACCCAGCUCAGCAUGUGGUGCCCUGUAUUGUGUACAGACACAAUACAGACAAACACACAAAUACAUCAGACACACAACCGGCUGUGUGGUGACUGACUCAGUGAGUCUGUUUCAGUUCAGGACUGUCAUGGCUGUCUAAAUAAUCUCUAAUUAAGGUUGAGAGAGAGGGGGAGACAGACAGAGGGGAGAGAGAGUGAGGGUGGAGAAAGAGUGAUAGACAGAGAGUGCUAGCGGAGGAAAGUGUUGCCAUCCCUCCUUCCACACAUCCUUGCCACCUCCUGUGUCUUGUUUCCCCCUGCUGUGUAGACUGAUCGUGCUUUCAGGCCAAUGCUGUGCACUCCGCUGAUCAAAGAUGCAGCAGUGACUGACACACCUCCUGACAAAAACAAACAUCCUGACAGGAACACACCUCCCUCCCUCUCUCUCUCUCUCUCUCUCUCUCACUCUCUCUCUCUCUCUCUCCCUCCCUCCAGUCCAACCUGGGGACUCAAGGCACUCUGAGGUGUUUCAGACAGACUAACAGUGGGGGUCUGCAGCUCAGUAGAUAUCAACCUCUAGCUUGGGUGUUCAAAACACAUUCUCUGAAUACAGGUGUUUUCUUAGGAUGAAAACAGAUUUGAAAGAGAAAGAAUUAAAGUAAAGCUUGAUUUUCCCCAGGCUUUGUAGCUUUAAACUAAGCUUGUGGUCUGAGAUUUCAAGGAUCCGUUAUCAUUACUGAACUGUAAGCAAUGGGAACAAGCUGCUUCAGUUUGAGGUCACAGUAAAUAUAUGACAUAGUGCUCUGAUUACAUAAAAUAACUUGUAAGUAAGCAUUUUGUUUUACGCUGUACCCCAUGUGUAUCCCGUACAUACGACUAAUACAAUUUGAAACUGAAACUUGAAACAUACAGAAACAAGAUAAGAGAACCCGAAUGAGCAAUAGAUCAACUGUUCAGUAGCCUGGUCCCAGAUCUGUUUGCGCUGUCUUGCCAACUACUUGUCACUCAUUACCAAGUCAAACAUGUUUGGCUUAACAAUUCCAUAGUGAACAAGAGAGCAGAAACAUAUUGUCAGGAGCCAACGGCAUUUCCCAGACGCACCUCAUCAGAAAAUCAGUUAUCUUCCUAUCCAAACCUCACCAAAAUGAACUGCUCGUGGCUCAGUCUCAUUUGAAUGAAUUACCAAUCCUGGAGUUCUGUACGUCUCAGCGUGGUCUGACAGAGGGUUGACAAGGGCUCACUACAAGGCCUAAUUUGACAACAAACCCUGGUGAAACAGCAACCUUGGUGAAACAGAAAACUCUGGUGAAACAGCAAGCCCUGGUGAAAUUAUUCAAAUCUAAAAUAUACAAUUCAAUCAGAGUUCCCUUAGAGCAUAGGAAAAGGUUGCACCUGACCGUUUGACUGAAACCACACUAUUGCAAUGAAUUUGAGAUGGUGAAAACUCACAUCAAUACCUUUGUCAGAUAACACUGUUAAACAAAGUUUAUGCUAUGCUUGCAAUCAAGAGGAAAUUGAAUGAAUGACUCAAAAACUCCCCAGCUUAUGCUCUGCAAAUGGACGUUAGCUGUGAGGCCCGAGAUGCUCAUGCAUUGACUUUAGUGUGAGCUACAUGUCGGGGGGUGCUAUUCACGAGGACAUAUUGUUCUGUCUCAUGAUUCCCGAGUAUGAAACGGAACAGGGGAUGUACAGUGUGCUGCGUGACUAGAUUGACAAAAAAAAACAGAUUCCAUGGGAUCGAAUGUUGGGCAUUUGCACAGAUGGGGCUCCAUCUAUAGCAGGACGGUGGGCAGACUCUAGUUAUGAACGUGUCUCCCUCUGACACAUUGUAUGUUACACCAAGAGCAACUGGCAGAAAAAGAGCUGAGCAUAGAACUCGGAGAUACACUGAGUAUACAAACUUUAAGAAUACCUGAUUUCCAUAACAUAGACUGACCAGGUGAAUCGAGGUCAAAGUUGUAAUCCUUUAUUGAUGUCAAUAAAAUACACUUCAAUCAGUGUAGAUGAAGGGUAGGAGACAGGGUGCAUGGGCAAGAUAAAAUAUUUAAGUGCCUUUGAACGGGGUACAGUAGUAGGCACACCGGUUUGUGUCAAGAACAGCAAUGCUGAUGAGUUUUUCACGCUCAACAGUUUCCCGUGUGUAUCAAGAAUGAUCCACCACCCAAAGGACAUCCAGCCAACUUGGCACAACUUUGAGAAGCAUUGGAAUCAACAUGGGCCAGCAUCCCUGUGGAAUGAUUUUUACACCUUGUAGAGUCCAUGCUCAGACAAAUUGAGGCUGUUCUGUUUGGUACACUCAGUGUAUACUGCAGCAGGUAACUUCGAUUGUAAACAACAUUAAACUACAUCCACUGCGCGCACGUGUGUUCGCAAAACUAUGUGGAGAUAUGGGAUAAGAGCAUGACAAUGUUCUAUUUCACAGGCUUGGUGGUUAUCGAGGGGGAGUGUUAGAAAGAUCUUUCGCAUUGAUAGAGGAACUUGUCUUUCACAAUGGAUGUAAAAAAUGAGACUUGGUUGACUCUCUGUGUAAUGAACCUUUGUAACAGACAUAUUUGGUAAACUGAACGAACUGAACACAAGCAUGCAGGGGAAAUACAAAAACAUUCUACAGAUAAGUAGACCUCUGACCAUUAAUGCCAUGUUCAAAACAACUGGGAACUCAGAACUGGGAAGUCGGCAAAUUUCGACUUCAGUGCGUUCAAGACAACGGGGAACUCAUGAAUAAAUUAGUUAAGACUGGGAAAACAUUUUUGAACUGUCAUCCAACUCAGAUUUCCAACUCGGGAACUCAAGUCUCUUUCUAGAGCUCUGACUUUCCGACCUGAAGAUCACUGACCUCAUACUUUGACCUCAUAUUAUUCAGAGUUCCCAGUUGUCUUGAAAGCACCAGAAAACUGAUGGUACCCUUCGCCAGCUCAUAUCUGUGUGAAGAUUCAGUCAGUGCCCUUGUCAGCAUUAAAACCAAAUAUUGAUCCAGGUGCGCGCUGUUGACAACGCCCCUGACUUUGAGAAGCUCUGACACUACAUGCAUUAAGCACACCCAUCUCAUUAGUGGUGGUGAGAUUAGAGACAUUAUGUCAGACUCAUUUGCAAUUGGCAGUCAAAGCCCCACAUUAAAAGUAUGUGAUGGUGAGUUUAGAAGACAAUCAGAAAUACUGUUUUGAUGCUUAUCAAUUGACUGCCACAGCACCAAAUAAAAAAGCUUACAUUUACUGUUAAUUACAUAAUGGCUGGGGUCAUGAAAAUUUCAAGAUGUCAAAAUGGGGAUGUGGGCCAAAAAAGUUUGGUAACCUCUAAUGUAAGAAAUAGGGUGCUAUUUGGGACACAACCAGUCUGUGGCUGGGUAGAGGAGCGGCUUAGUUUGGGUUUAGUUUCCCUCAACAGGAGGUGGGUCUACAUCUACCAACUCUUUGAGUUCCACAGAUCAUCAGCACAUUCUAGGGUGCUUCUCAGUCGUUCAUAUGUUCCGUUCUCAGACUUCACAAUACACUUUCACACAAUAAACACUCACAUGCACCCACACACACUCAGCAGUCCUCUAUACCAGUCUAACAAUUAACACAUCCUAUGGCUAGACAGACAGUGGUAGUUCCCUCCACAGACUCUACAACCCUUCAGGGAAAAGAUCACCUCAAAUUUUUUAACUUUAAAAGCUUCCAUCUGGAUCCACGCACACACGCACGCACGCACACACACACACACACACACACACACACACACACACACACACACACACACACACACACACACACACACACACACACACACACACACACACACACACACACACACACACACACACACACACACACACAGCUAUAAUUCAUUAUCAAAUGAAAGCCCUGGAGAUUCUCUCUUCAACUCUUCCUGAGAAUAAUUCAACAGAGGCUGCCUCCCAAUGGCACCCUAUUGUUUACAUCGUGCAAUACUUUUGACCAGGGCACUAUGUAGGGGAUUGGUCAGGCUGCCAGAGAAACGUUCCAAAGCAGGACUUCAUGGUCGUCCUUAGUUAAAACUUAAAACGCCCAGGUGUGGUCUUCCUAGCCAGCCACGCUAAUUCAAUGCUAUUGUUGAGUUACAGUGGCAAGAAAAAGUAUGUGAACCCUUUGGAAUUACUUGAUUAUAAAUUGAUCAUAAAAUUUGAUCUGAUCUUCAUCAAAGUCACAAUAACAGACAAACACAGUUUUCUUAAACUAAUAGCACACCAAUUAUUGUAUUUUCCUUGUCUAUAUUGAAUACAUAAUUUAAACAUUCACAGUGUAGGUUGGAAAAAGUAUGUGAACCCUUAAGCUAAUGACUUCCCCAAUAGCUAACUGGAGUGAGCUAAUCUGGAGUCCAAUUAAUGAGACGAGAUUGGAGAUUUUGUUUAGAGCUGCCCUGACCUAUAAAAACACUCACAAAAUUUGCAUCUGCUAUUCGCAAGAAGCAUUUCCUUAUGUGAAUCAUGCCUCAAACAAAAGAGAUCUCAGAAGACCUAAAAUUACGAAUUGUUGACUUGCAUAAUGUCACACCCUGACCAUAGUUUGCUUUGUAUGUUUCUAUGUUUUGUUUGGUCAGGGUGUGAUCUGAGUGGGCAUUUUAUGUUGGAUGUCUUGUUUGUCUAUGUCUAUGUCUGGCCUGAUAUGGUUCUCAAUCAGAGGCAGGUGUUAGUCAUUGUCUCUGAUUGGGAACCAUAUUUCGGUAGCCUGUUUGGUGUUGGGUUUUGUGGGUGAUUGUUCCUGUCUCUGUGUUUGCACCAGAUAGGGCUGUUUAGGUUUCUCACGUUUAUUGUUUUUGUUAGUCUAUUCAUGUAUAGUGUCUUUAUUAAAGUACCAUGAAUAGAAACCACGCUGCA
This is a long non-coding RNA of Oncorhynchus masou masou (cherry salmon), 9719 nucleotides long. RefSeq lists it as uncharacterized. The transcript has 2 exons. The record is from RefSeq and is a predicted model, not a curated record. Lineage: Eukaryota; Metazoa; Chordata; Actinopteri; Salmoniformes; Salmonidae.